This 272-nucleotide small RNA is filed under the name uncultured Clostridium sp. Its description in RNAcentral is "5' ureB small RNA". It matches the Rfam family "5' ureB small RNA". Lineage: Bacteria; Bacillati; Bacillota; Clostridia; Eubacteriales; Clostridiaceae. The record is from RNAcentral.
UUAAUAUAAUGUACGUGAGUAUCUAUUCCUCCAGCAGUUAAAAUUAAUCCUUCUCCAGCUAAUGCUUCAGUACUAACUCCAACAAUAAAAUCUAUAUCAUCCAUUCCUAAUGGAUUUCCACCUUUUCCUAUUGUAUGGAUCUUUCCAUCUUUGAUUCCAAUAUCAGCUUUAUAAAUUCCGUUAUAAUCAAGAAUAGUUACUCCUGUUAUAAUUAAAUCAACAACUUUAGGAUUUUUUCUAGUUUCAAUAGAGUUCUGACCCAUACCAUCUCU